Molecule: ribosomal RNA, 476 nt
Filed under: uncultured bacterium
Lineage: Bacteria
Description: bacterial SSU rRNA
Rfam family: Bacterial small subunit ribosomal RNA
Source: RNAcentral
UGAAUAACACGUGAGAAUCUGCCCAUUAGUGGGGGAUAACCUGGGGAAACCCAGGCUAAUACCGCAUAAUCCCUACGGGGGAAAGCAGGGGACCUUCGGGCCUUGUGCUGAUGGAUGAGCUCGCGUCGGAUUAGCUUGUUGGUGAGGUAAUGGCUCACCAAGGCGACGAUCCGUAGCUGGUCUUAGAGGAUGAUCAGCCACACCGGGACUGAGACACGGCCCGGACUCCUACGGGAGGCAGCAGUGGGGAAUCUUGGACAAUGGGGGCAACCCUGAUCCAGCCAUGCCGCGUGUGUGAAGAAGGCCUUCGGGUUGUAAAGCACUUUCAGUAGGGAGGAAGGCUUAUCCUUAAUACGGAUGAGUACUUGACGUUACCUACAGAAGAAGCACCGGCUAAUUUCGUGCCAGCAGCCGCGGUAAUACGAAAGGUGCAAGCGUUAAUCGGAAUUACUGGGCGUAAAGCGCGCGUAGGCGGU